This 645-nucleotide ribosomal RNA is filed under the name Debaryomyces nepalensis. RNAcentral's name for it is "eukaryotic LSU rRNA". The stretch from base 234 to 387 matches the Rfam family "5.8S ribosomal RNA". The record is from RNAcentral. Lineage: Eukaryota; Fungi; Ascomycota; Pichiomycetes; Serinales; Debaryomycetaceae.
CUUCCGUAGGGUNAACCUGCGGAAGGAUCAUUACAGUAUUCUUUUUGCCAGCGCUUAAUUGCGCGGCGAAAAAACCUUACACACAGUGUUUUUUGUUAUUACAAGAACUCUUGCUUUGGUCUGGACUAGAAAUAGUUUGGGCCAGAGGUUUACUAAACUAAACUUCAAUAUUUAUAUUGAAUUGUUAUUUAUUUUAAUUGUCAAUUUGUUGAUUAAAUUCAAAAAAUCUUCAAAACUUUCAACAACGGAUCUCUUGGUUCUCGCAUCGAUGAAGAACGCAGCGAAAUGCGAUAAGUAAUAUGAAUUGCAGAUUUUCGUGAAUCAUCGAAUCUUUGAACGCACAUUGCGCCCUUUGGUAUUCCAAAGGGCAUGCCUGUUUGAGCGUCAUUUCUCUCUCAAACCUUCGGGUUUGGUAUUGAGUGAUACUCUUAGUCGAACUAGGCGUUUGCUUGAAAUGUAUUGGCAUGAGUGGUACUGGAUAGUGCUAUAUGACUUUCAAUGUAUUAGGUUUAUCCAACUCGUUGAAUAGUUUAAUGGUAUAUUUCUCGGUAUUCUAGGCUCGGCCUUACAAUAUAACAAACAAGUUUGACCUCAAAUCAGGUAGGACUACCCGCUGAACUUAAGCAUAUCAAUAANNCGGAGGAA